MicroRNA precursor from Hucho hucho (huchen), 58 nucleotides. Lineage: Eukaryota; Metazoa; Chordata; Actinopteri; Salmoniformes; Salmonidae. The record is from Ensembl.
AGCGCCAUUUACAGAGCUAUAAGCAUGAUGGUUGUCAUAGCUCUUUGAAUGGUACUGC